GGUUAACGCUGGCGGUAUGUCUAAUACAUGCAAGUCGAGCGCCCCGCAAGGGGAGCGGCGAACGGCUGAAUAACACGUUGGUACCUGCCUUGAACUCAGGGAUACCCCGUAGAAAUACGGGUUAAUACCGGAUAGUCCCGAAAGGGUAAAGAUUUUUCGGUUCAAGAGGGGCCUGCGGCCUAUCAGUUAGUUGGCGAGGUAACGGCUCACCAAGACUAUGACGGGUAGCUGAUCUGAGAGGAUGAUCAGCCAGAAUGGAACUGAGACACGGUCCAUACUCCUACGGGAGGCAGCAGUAAAGAAUAUUUCGCAAUGGGGGAAACCCUGGCGAAGCGAUACCGCGUGGGCGAAGAAGGUCGCAAGAUUGUAAAGCCCUUUUCUGAAGGAAUAAUUCUGAAGGUACUUCAGGAAUAAGCACCGGCUAACUCCGUGCCAGCAGCCGCGGUAAUACGGAGGGUGCAAGCGUUACCCGGAAUCAUUGGGCGUAAAGCGUCCGCAGGUGGUUUGUUAAGUCGAAUGUUAAAUCUUGAAGCCCAACUUCAAGGCUGUGUUCGAAACUGGCAGGCUAGAGUUUUUCAGAGGUACAUGGAAUUCUGUGUGUAGGGGUAAAAUCCGUAGAUAUACAGAGGAACACCAAAAGCGAAGGCAAUGUACUGGGAAACAACUGACACUCAUGGACGAAAGCGUGGGGAGCGAACGGGAUUAGAUACCCCGGUAGUCCACGCCUUAAACGAUGGAUACUAGGUGUUAAAGGAUUCGACCCCUUUAGUGCCACAGCUAACGCAUUAAGUAUCCCGCCUGGGAAGUACGGUCGCAAGAUUAAAACUCAAAGAAAUAGACGGGGACCCACACAAGCGGUGGAGCACCUGGCUCAAUUCGAUAGUGAGCGAGGAACCUUACCUAGGUUUGACAUCUCCGGAAUUCUGCGGAAACGUGGAAGUGCCUUUUGGAACCAGAAGACAGGUGCUGCAUGGUUGUCGUCAGCUCGUGCCUUGAGGUGUUCGGUUAAGUCCGUAAACGAGCGCAACCCAUGUCCUGUGUUGUUUUUUCACAGGAGACUGCCGAUUCAAAGUCGGAGGAAGGUAUGGAUGACGUCAAAUCAGCAUGGCCCUUAUACCUAGGGCUGCACAGGUGCUACAAUGGUUGGUACAAUGGGUAGCAAUGAAGCAAUUCGGAGCCAAUCCCACAAAAGCCAAUCUCAGUUCGGAUUGAAGGCUGCAACUCGCCUUCAUGAAGCUGGAAUCGCUAGUAAACGCGUAUCAGCAAUGGCGCGUUGAAUAUGUUCCUGGGUCUUGUACUCACCGCCCGUCACACUAUGAAAGGUAGGAGCACCCGAAGUUCCCUUAGCCGCAAGGCGGGGGCCUAAGGUGAAACUACUGAUUGGAGUG
Molecule: ribosomal RNA, 1388 nt
Filed under: uncultured bacterium
Lineage: Bacteria
Description: bacterial SSU rRNA
Rfam family: Bacterial small subunit ribosomal RNA
Source: RNAcentral